Long non-coding RNA from Acinonyx jubatus (cheetah), 477 nucleotides. RefSeq lists it as uncharacterized. The record is from RefSeq and is a predicted model, not a curated record. The transcript has 5 exons. NCBI's taxonomy places the organism in Eukaryota, Metazoa, Chordata, Mammalia, Carnivora, Felidae.
CCCUAUCAGAAUGUGGCUCUGAUAUCCUGAAAUCUCUGCAGCCCUACCUCUGCCAGGAGCAGCACAGGAAUCCACACCCAAAUGAUGAGGAAACUAAGGCUCAGAAAGUUCAGGAAACUUGCCAAGAUUACCCACGUGGUUACGAAGAUCUCGGCAUCAGAAAAGAAGCUCAGAGCAGCACGGCAUCCUCAGCCCUCCUUCUCUCUUGAAGCAGACACUGAAAGACAGGAGCCGUCUCCAGGCUGGGAGGAAGGGCUAUGACGGUCAUCUACUGCCAUGGCUCUCGAGGCUGACAUCACAACCAAGUGAGGACUUCUACAAGACACCCACACGCAGAGAAAUUUUACCUCAAGAAGCUCAUCCUCUGGCUGCAGAAGUUUCAGUGUAUCAACAGGACCACCUGGAACAAUUGAAGAUAUAUAAUGGUGCCCAUCAAAGGAAUCCACUUCCAUGCCAAGUCUCAGAGUGUGAAUGGGC